RNAcentral lists this transfer RNA (71 nucleotides) under Heterocephalus glaber (naked mole-rat). It matches the Rfam family "tRNA". From Rfam's summary of the family: Transfer RNA (tRNA) molecules are approximately 80 nucleotides in length. Their secondary structure includes four short double-helical elements and three loops (D, anti-codon, and T loops). The record is from Rfam by way of RNAcentral. Lineage: Eukaryota; Metazoa; Chordata; Mammalia; Rodentia; Bathyergidae.
GGAAAUGUAGCUCAGUGGUAGAGCACUUGCCUAGGAUGUGCAAAGCCCUGGGUUCAAUCCCAGUGCUACCC